CAGUAGCCGCGGUAAAACGUAGGUGGCAAGCGUUGUUCGGAGUUAUUGGGCGUAGAGGGUGCGUAGGCGGUUUGAUAAGUCUUGUGUGAAAUCUAUGGGCUCAACCCAUAGUCUGCACAGGAAACUGUCGGGCUUGAGAGUGGGAGAGGUGAGUGGAAUUUCCGGUGUAGCGGUGAAAUGCGUAGAUAUCGGAAGGAACACCUGUGGCGAAAGCGGCUCACUGGACCAUUUCUGACGCUGAUGCACGAAAGCUAGGGGAGCAAACAGGAUUAGAUACCCCCGUAGUCCCUGUCUCUUAUAA
This 301-nucleotide ribosomal RNA is filed under the name uncultured bacterium. RNAcentral's name for it is "partial 16S ribosomal RNA". It matches the Rfam family "Bacterial small subunit ribosomal RNA", at positions 509 to 809 of the family's 1533-position model. The record is from RNAcentral.